GAUGAACGCUGGCGGCGUGCCUAAUACAUGCAAGUCGAGCGAACGGAUGAGAAGCUUGCUUCUCUGAUGUUAGCGGCGGACGGGUGAGUAACACGUGGAUAACCUACCUAUAAGACUGGGAUAACUUCGGGAAACCGGAGCUAAUACCGGAUAAUAUUUUGAACCGCAUGGUUCAAAAGUGAAAGACGGUCUUGCUGUCACUUAUAGAUGGAUCCGGGCUGCAUUAGCUAGUUGGUAAGGUACGGCUUACCAAGGCAACGAUGGAUAGCCGACCUGAGAGGGUGAUCGGCCACACUGGAACUGAGACACGGUCCAGACUCCUACGGGAGGCAGCAGUAGGGAAUCUUCCGCAAUGGGCGAAAGCCUGACGGAGCAACGCCGCGUGAGUGAUGAAGGUCUUCGGAUCGUAAAACUCUGUUAUUAGGGAAGAACAUAUGUGUAAGUAACUGUGCACAUCUUGACGGUACCUAAUCAGAAAGCCACGGCUAACUACGUG
RNAcentral lists this ribosomal RNA (496 nucleotides) under uncultured bacterium. RNAcentral's name for it is "partial 16S ribosomal RNA". It matches the Rfam family "Bacterial small subunit ribosomal RNA", at positions 28 to 507 of the family's 1533-position model. The record is from RNAcentral.